GUUUCAGCAGCCGCGGUAAUACGGAGGAUCCAAGCGUUAUCCGGAUUCAUUGGGUUUAAAGGGUGCGCAGGCGGAAUGAUAAGUCAGUGGUGAAAUCCUACAGCUCAACUGUAGAACUGCCAUUGAUACUGUCGUUCUUGAGUACACUUGGAGUGGGCGGAAUGUGUCAUGUAGCGGUGAAAUGCUUAGAUAUGACACAGAACACCGAUCGCGAAGGCAGCUCACUAAAUUGUAACUGACGCUCAGGCACGAAAGCGUGGGGAUCAAACAGGAUUAGAAACCCCAGUAGUCC
Molecule: ribosomal RNA, 292 nt
Filed under: uncultured bacterium
Lineage: Bacteria
Description: partial 16S ribosomal RNA
Rfam family: Bacterial small subunit ribosomal RNA
Source: RNAcentral